RNAcentral lists this ribosomal RNA (543 nucleotides) under Rothia koreensis. RNAcentral describes it as "Kocuria koreensis partial 23S ribosomal RNA". It matches the Rfam family "Eukaryotic large subunit ribosomal RNA", at positions 316 to 877 of the family's 3401-position model. Lineage: Bacteria; Bacillati; Actinomycetota; Actinomycetes; Micrococcales; Micrococcaceae. RNAcentral also lists the same sequence under 1 other name. The record is from RNAcentral.
CUAAAUACUGGCCGGAGACCGAUAGCGCACAAGUAGAGUGAUCGAAAGAUGAAAAGCACUUUGAAAAGAGAGUUAAACAGCACGUGAAAUUGUUGAAAGGGAAGCGCUUGCGACCAGACUCGCCCGCGGGGUUCAGCCGGCAUUCGUGCCGGUGUACUUCCCCGUGGGCGGGCCAGCGUCGGUUUGGGCGGCCGGUCAAAGGCCCCUGGAAUGUAGUGCCCUCCGGGGCACCUUAUAGCCAGGGGUGCAAUGCGGCCAGCCUGGACCGAGGAACGCGCUUCGGCACGGACGCUGGCAUAAUGGUCGUAAACGACCCGUCUUGAAACACGGACCAAGGAGUCUAACAUCUACGCGAGUGUUCGGGUGUCAAACCCGUGCGCGCAGUGAAAGCGAACGGAGGUGGGAGCCCCCUUGCGGGGCGCACCAUCGACCGAUCCUGAUGUCUUCGGAUGGAUUUGAGUAAGAGCGUAGCUGUGGGGACCCGAAAGAUGGUGAACUAUGCCUGAAUAGGGCGAAGCCAGAGGAAACUCUGGUGGAGGCUCG